AAGUACCUGCUGGAUCAAGCAGUCCCCAUAAGGGCAAGGUCUGAAAGUACCUGCUGGAUCAAGCAGUCGCCAUAAGGGCAAGGUCUGAAAGUACCUGCUGGAUCAAGCAGUCGCCAUAAGGGCAAGGUCUGAAAGUACCUGCUGGAUCAAGCAGUCGCCAUAAGGGCAAGGUCUGAAAGUACCUGCUGGAUCAAGCAGUCCCCAUAAAGGCAAGGUCUGAAAGUACCUGCUGGAUCAAGCAGUCCCCAUAAGGGCAAGGUCUGAAAGUACCUGCUGGAUCAAGCAGUCCCCAUAAGAGGCAAGGUCUGAAAGUACCUGCUGGAUCAAGCAGUCGCCAUAAGGGCAAGGUCUGAGUACCUUCUGGACCAAGCAUAAAGGUCUUGUAACUCUUUCAAUUCAAAAGAAGAAACAUACGUGACACUCCAGUAAGCCCACACAGAUUACCCUCCAGUAAGUCCACACAGAUUACCCUCCAGUAAGCCCACACAGAUUACCCUCCAGUAAGCCCACACAGAUUACCCUCCAGUAAGCCCACACAGAUUACCCUCCAGUAAGCCCACACAGAUUACACCCCAGUAAGUCCACACGUAGAGUAAACUCCAGUAAGCCCACACAUAGAGUACCCGCCAGUGUCGUAAGGAAAACAAAUUUGGACGUCCGACAUUCCAUCCACUGUAUCUUAUAAAUGGGUAGAUUCAAUAGAGCGUGAUAAGGGAAAAACUACUCAACACAUAUAUUACUUCUGUAUUUCUGUUUAAUAUGCAACUGUAAAAUAAUAUGUACAAGUAUGUUUUCAUCACGUUUCAUCACGUAUUAUUCACUGUUGAACAGCAGAGAAUGACAUUUCUAGUUAAACACAUCUUUACUGCUGUAUGUAUUCAACAUGUUUUGAAUAAAUGGCAGAUGUGGUAA
This is a long non-coding RNA of Haliotis rubra (blacklip abalone), 912 nucleotides long. RefSeq lists it as uncharacterized. The transcript has 2 exons. NCBI's taxonomy places the organism in Eukaryota, Metazoa, Mollusca, Gastropoda, Lepetellida, Haliotidae. The record is from RefSeq and is a predicted model, not a curated record.